UACGAAGGGGGCUAGCGUUGCUCGGAAUUACUGGGCGUAAAGCGCACGUAGGCGGAUCUUUAAGUCAGGGGUGAAAUCCUGGAGCUCAACUCCAGAACUGCCUUUGAUACUGAGAAGCUUGAGUCCGGGAGAGGUGAGUGGAACUGCGAGUGUAGAGGUGAAAUUCGUAGAUAUUCGCAAGAACACCAGUGGCGAAGGCGGCUCACUGGCCCGGUACUGACGCUGAGGUGCGAAAGCGUGGGGAGCAAACAGG
RNAcentral lists this ribosomal RNA (253 nucleotides) under uncultured bacterium. Its description in RNAcentral is "partial 16S ribosomal RNA". It matches the Rfam family "Bacterial small subunit ribosomal RNA", at positions 524 to 776 of the family's 1533-position model. The record is from RNAcentral.